UGGGGAAUAUUGCGCAAUGGGGGCAACCCUGACGCAGCAACGCCGCGUGAUUGAAGAAGGUCUUCGGAUUGUAAAAAUCUUUUAUCAAGGACGAAGAAGUGACGGUACUUGAUGAAUAAGCUCCGGCUAACUACGUGCC
Molecule: ribosomal RNA, 139 nt
Filed under: uncultured bacterium
Lineage: Bacteria
Description: partial 16S ribosomal RNA
Rfam family: Bacterial small subunit ribosomal RNA
Source: RNAcentral